CUAACAUCACGGGUAGCUUCUGUCCUUGGGGGAACUGGAAGCAAGAGUCAGGAGGGAUGCUGAUUGCUGGUUUCUAUCUCCCCGCAGCGGCUGGAUUGCAGCAAUCUCCU
This is a microRNA precursor of Gallus gallus (chicken), 110 nucleotides long. NCBI's taxonomy places the organism in Eukaryota, Metazoa, Chordata, Aves, Galliformes, Phasianidae. The record is from Ensembl.